RNAcentral lists this ribosomal RNA (216 nucleotides) under uncultured bacterium. RNAcentral's name for it is "partial 16S ribosomal RNA". It matches the Rfam family "Bacterial small subunit ribosomal RNA", at positions 113 to 327 of the family's 1533-position model. The record is from RNAcentral.
ACACGUGGGUAAUCUGCCCUGGAGUGGGGAAUAACACCGGGAAACCGGUGCUAAUACCGCAUACGAUCACGAUGUCUGCGGAUGUUGUGAUGAAAGGAGCAAUUCGCUCCAGGAGGAGCCCGCGGCUGAUUAGCUAGUUGGUGAGGUAACGGCUCACCAAGGCUACGAUCAGUAUCCGGUCUGAGAGGACGGUCGGACACACUGGAACUGAGACAC